Non-coding RNA from Myotis davidii, 75 nucleotides. NCBI's taxonomy places the organism in Eukaryota, Metazoa, Chordata, Mammalia, Chiroptera, Vespertilionidae. The record is from Rfam.
GGUGGUUCUUGGGUGAUGCAUCCUGGAAUAGGGCUUCCUCCUCUCUGGUUCCAGGUGUGUCACCUGAGAACUGCA